CCUACGAGAGGCAGCAGUGGGGAAUAUUGGGCAAUGGGCGCAAGCCUGACCCAGCAACGCCGCGCGAAGGAAGAAGGCUUUCGGGUUGUAAACUUCUUUUGACAGGGAAGAGUAGAAGACGGUACAUGUCGAAUAAGCCACGGCUAACUACGUGCCAGGAGCCGGGGAAAUAAGUAGGUGGCAAGCGUUGUCCGGAUUUACUGGGUGUAAAGGGCGUGUAGCCGGGUUGACAAGUCAGAUGUGAAAGCCUGCGGCUUAACCGCCGAACUGCAUUUGAAAGUGUUGAUCUUGAGUACUGGAGAGGCAGACGGAAUUCCUGGUGUAGCGGUGAAAUGCGUAGAUAUUAGGAGGAACACCAGGGGCGAAGGCGGUCUGCUGGACAGCAACUGACGGUGAGGCGCGAAAGCGUGGGGAGCAAACAGGAUUAGAUACCCGAGUAGUC
Molecule: ribosomal RNA, 442 nt
Filed under: uncultured bacterium
Lineage: Bacteria
Description: partial 16S ribosomal RNA
Rfam family: Bacterial small subunit ribosomal RNA
Source: RNAcentral